GAUGAAGAACGUAGCGAAAUGCGAUACUUGGUGUGAAUUGCAGAAUCCCGUGAACCAUCGAGUCUUUGAACGCAAGUUGCGCCCGAAGCCAUUAGGCCGAGGGCACGCCUGCCUGGGUGUCACACGUCGUUGCCCCCCCAUCUACUCCUUCGGGAUUGCGGGGGGCGGAUGAUGGCCUCCCGUGCGCCUCGUCGCGCGGUUGGCAUAAAUGCCAAGUCCUCGGCGACGCACGCCACGACAAUCGGUGGUUGCGAAACCUCGGUUGCCCGUCGUGUGCGGUCGUCGCGCAUCGAGGGCUCGAAAAAAUUGCCGGGCUCCGGCUCGGCUUUCAACGCGACCCCAGGUCAGGCGGGGUUACCCGCUGAAUUUAAGCAUAUCAAUAGCGGAGGA
This 390-nucleotide unclassified non-coding RNA is filed under the name soil metagenome. RNAcentral describes it as "partial contains 5.8S ribosomal RNA, internal transcribed spacer 2, and large subunit ribosomal RNA". The stretch from base 1 to 122 matches the Rfam family "5.8S ribosomal RNA", at positions 35 to 154 of the family's 154-position model. The record is from RNAcentral.